RNAcentral lists this ribosomal RNA (603 nucleotides) under Hungatella hathewayi. RNAcentral's name for it is "partial 23S ribosomal RNA". It matches the Rfam family "Bacterial large subunit ribosomal RNA", at positions 164 to 773 of the family's 2925-position model. Lineage: Bacteria; Bacillati; Bacillota; Clostridia; Lachnospirales; Lachnospiraceae. The record is from RNAcentral.
CCAUAGCCAUACGUUGGGAACCCGCUGAACUGAAACAUCUAAGUAGGCGGAGGAAAAGAAAGAAAACUCGAUUUCCAGAGUAGCGGCGAGCGAAAUGGAAGGAGCCUAAACCUGGGUGCGUGCACCCAGGGGUUAUGGACUGCAAUAAGUGACUCGUAUGGUAACAGAACGGUCCUGGAAAGACCGGCCACAGAGGGUGAAAGCCCCGUAUGUGAAACCAGAAGAGAGCGAGCAUGUUCCAAAGUACCACGAGACACGAGAAACCUUGUGGGAAGUCGGGGGGACCACCCCCCAAGGCUAAAUACUCCUUAGUGACCGAUAGCGCAUAGUACUGUGAAGGAAAGGUGAAAAGAACCCCGGGAGGGGAGUGAAAAAGAACCUGAAACCCUGUGUUUACAAACUGUGGAACCACAUUUUAGGUGGAACCGCGUACUUUUUGUAGAACGGUCCGGCGAGUUGCCGGGACUGGCAAGGUUAAGCACUCAAGGUGUGGAGCCGAAGGGAAACCAAGUCUUAAUAGGGCGUUGAGUCAGUUCAGGCAGACCCGAAACCGGGUGAUCUACCCAUGUCCAGGUUGAAGUUUCCGUAAAAGGAAAUGGAGGA